Molecule: ribosomal RNA, 875 nt
Filed under: uncultured archaeon
Lineage: Archaea
Description: bacterial SSU rRNA
Rfam family: Archaeal small subunit ribosomal RNA
Source: RNAcentral
CCUGACUGCUAUCGGAUUGAUACUAAGCCAUGCGAGUCUUUGUAGUAAUACAAGGCAGACGGCCCAGUAACACGUAGUCAACCUACCCUAUGGACGAGAAUAAUCUCGGGAAACUGAGCAUAAUUCUCGAUAGAUCAUAAUGCCUGGAAUGGUUUAUGGUUAAAAUGAUUCGUCGCCAUAGGAUGGGACUGCGGCCUAUCAGCUUGUUGGUGAGGUAAUGGCCCACCAAGGCGAUUACAGGUACGGGCUCUGAGAGGAGAAGCCCGGAGAUGGGUACUGAGACACGGACCCAGGCCCUAUGGGGCGCAGCAGGCGAGAAAACUUUGCAAUGUGCGAAAGCACGACAAGGUUAAUCCGAGUGAUUUCUGCUAAAGAAAUCUUUUGUUAGUCAUAAAACCACUGACGAAUAAGGGGUGGGCAAGUUCUGGUGUCAGCCGCCGCGGUAAAACCAGCACCUCAAGUGGUCAGGAGAAUUAUUGGGCCUAAAGCAUCCGUAGCCGGUUCUCUAAGUUUUUGGUUAAAUCUAUGUGCUCAACACAUAGGCUGCCAAAAAUACUGGGGAACUAGGGAGUGGGAGAGGUAGACGGUACUUGAUAGGAAGGGGUAAAAUCUUUUGAUCUAUCGAUGACCACCUGUGGCGAAGGCGGUCUACCAGAACACGUUCGACGGUGAGGGAUGAAAGCUGGGGGAGCAAACCGGAUUAGAUACCCGGGUAGUCCCAGCUGUAAACGAUGCAGACUCGAUGAUGCAUUGGCAUAUAGCCAGUGCAGUAUCGCAGGGAAGCCGUUAAGUCUGCCGCCUGGGAAGUACGUACGCAAGUAUGAAACUUAAAGGAAUUGGCGGGGGAGCACCACAAGGGGUGAAGCCUGCGGUUC